UGGAUAUAUUUCUUUAUAAAGUUUGGUAACACUAAUCUAAAUAUAAAUGAAAUAUGAAUUGGCGACGAUAAUAAAUUAUAAAAAAUUAAAGUGAAGUUUAUCAACAACAUUAUUAUAAUUUUAAAUUAAAAUAUUCAAAACAUUGACUUUCGAUCAAUGUUUACUUCAUGAAGUGUCUUAACUAAGUAAAUCGAAAAUUGUUUAUACACAACAAAAAACGUAUAAAUUUUGUAAAUCUACAAAAUGUCUGAUUUUAUUGAAAAUGAAGCUGAAGAAUCAUCUGAUGAAGAAGAAAUAUUAAAUAAAAAAAGAAGGAUAGAAUCAGAUGAUGAGGAAAAUGAAACAGUAUUACCAUCAAGACGAAGAAAUGACGAUGAUGAUGAAGAGGAUGAAGAAGAAGAAGAUGAUGAAGAUAGAUUACGAGAAGAAAUGAAAGAUUUAAUUAAUGAUGAC
Molecule: long non-coding RNA, 453 nt
Filed under: Androctonus crassicauda
Lineage: Eukaryota; Metazoa; Arthropoda; Arachnida; Scorpiones; Buthidae
Source: RNAcentral